Lagopus muta (rock ptarmigan) is the source of this 4939-nucleotide RNA transcript. It is a transcript of the gene named SYS1 golgi trafficking protein, with no coding region annotated. The record is from RefSeq and is a predicted model, not a curated record. The transcript is spliced from 4 exons. Lineage: Eukaryota; Metazoa; Chordata; Aves; Galliformes; Phasianidae.
GCCGCCACCGCCCAUCGAGGCCGCUUCCGUCGCGCCGGGCGGGCGGGCGAUGGCGGCGCAGUUCCGCAGCUACGUGUGGGACCCGGCGCUGAUCGUGGCGCAGAUGGUGCUGCUGCAGGCCGCCUACUACAGCUCGCUCGGGCUCUGGCUCGCUCUCCUCGGCGCCUUCGGCAGCACCGGGCCUUCCCUGCAUCAGAUCUUCAGCGAUGAGAUUCUAGGCUUCUCGACUCCGCCUGGGAGGCUCUCCAUGAUGGCUUUUGUCCUCAAUGCACUCACCUGUGCUCUGGGCUUGCUGUACUUUAUCCGGCGAGGAAAGCAGUGCUUGGAUUUCACAGUCACAGUUCACUUCUUCCAUCUGCUGGGCUGCUGGAUUUAUAACUCGCACUUUCCCUCGACUCUGACGUGGUGGCUGGUGCACAUUGUGUGCACGGCACUGAUGGCUGCAAUUGGGGAGUACCUCUGCAUGAGGAUAGAACUUAGGGAAAUCCCACUGAAUUCUGCUCCCAAAUCCAAUGUGUAACUUGCUCUGGCAACAACAUGCUGCACUGCGUCAUUGUUUCCAGCACAAGUACAUCUAAUGCCUGAAAGUCAUCACUGAAGAAGCACAGCAGGUGAGAAACCGCCGCUUGUUUCCGAGAGAGGUAGGAUGUGCUUUCUUCUAGAGGCGCUUCCAGUAACCCCACGCACGGGGCGCUCACAAACACCGGCAUCGCUGCUAGGAGGUAAGGCCGAGCGGUUCCCUCGGGACCCGCAGCCCGCACAGGCAGAGCUGCAUCCUGCAGGGCGGCCACUGCGGGGCGUUUGGUUUGCAAGAACCUGAAAGGGGGCAAGGCGUGUUCUGAAGGAAGAAUUUCUGCUGUGCACAUCUGGCUGUGGUAGUUUUAUUUUGUACGUUAAUGUUUGUAAAUGUUAAUUUGUGCAAACUGCCUGCUAAUUUGGCUUGUUGAGAAUUGAUGGGAUGAUUUGAGUUGCAGAUGAGAAAUUCUUUGAAGUUGCUCUUUUGUGUUACUGGGGGAACCGUAUUUCAAGUCCUACUUCCACAUUCUGUGAAUUUGGGCAGAUUGAUAUCAAAGUGUUUUAAAUACCUGGCAAGUUUGUUGCAGAGAAGGAAGUGUUGCAGGUUACAUGUGCUUAGGCACAGCUUCUGGUGGUCUGAGAUUUCACCAAAACCUCUUCCUGACCAAAACCCCUUAAAGCUCAAUUUUAGUGCUAUCAUAUGGAUAGCAGCAGUCUUUCAGAUGAAGAAGUUAACACAAGUUCAGCUGUCAUUUGUUACUGCUUCCCCUCUAACUCUGCUGUGCGUUCAGCAAGGCUUUUCAUCGCUGCUCCAGGCUUUUUGGUUUCUCAUAUUUGAGGAUCCUUGCUUUCCUUCCUGUCACGUUCAGCCUAGCAGCAGCGCUCGGCCUUCCAGUAGGUGCCAGUAUCUCCUUCUGAAAGGAGAUGUGCAUGCGUGGUUGGGAUCCGGGCAGCAGAGGGCAGAGGGCACGCAAUGCCUUGGGGCUGCCAGAAUCCAGCUCGGAAUCGGUUGUAUUUUAAGGCUCUUUCAGGGUCAUUUUGUUCCCUCUCAGUACCAACAGCAAACAGCAGGGGAAGACAUCUCAGUUCUCUGGGAACAGGCAGAGGAAGGGAAGUCGCAGUACCCCCAUUCCUUAAAGGAAAAUGGACAGCUGACCCUGGGGUUGUUGAGCUUGUAUUAAAGAGAUGCUACCUUCGUUCUCCUGGAAGAACAAGGAAGAAAACUUCAGACCAAAGAAUGCUUCCUUCCUUACUUUCUGAACGAUAAGAUAGGCUUUGAGUGCUUCAAUGACCACCCCUGCAGGAGGAUGUGAAGUUUUGAUGCAGCCUUGUGGCUGGAGAUCCUUAGGCAGAGCAGGGCCAUGAGAAGAGUCCUUGGUGCACCUGGAUUUAGUGCUGAGGCUGUGGGACAUCCAACACACUGCAUUGCAUUAGCAUGAAGCAUGCUAUGGGAAUAGAAAGGCUUUUAGGUCUGCUCCCUUUGAGAAUUAAAUCCAAAUAGUGCUUUUUUUUUUUUUUAAUGAAGAAAACUUACUGUAGUUGUCUGAGUUACAAGGGAAGUUUUGCUAAAAACUACACACAGAUUGAGGAGGGAGCUUCUGAAAUUCAUCACUGCCAUAUUGUGAGACCUAGUUUUCACUUGCAUACAUUCAGUUAGAUCUUAGCAGCACCUUUGGCUUUAAGAAUUUCUGCUGCUCCAUACCUGAAUGGUGGCAGAUGGUCUUUGCUUCUUAAUGAAACUUUUUUUCAUGUGUGUAAUGGAUUGAAUUAUUUGCUUCCAGGGAAGAUUUUCCACAACACCUGCUCUUCUCACAGACAGCAGUAGCAUCAGCUAGCCAUCUGCAACCAAGGUUUUGCAAAUGAUGACUUCUAGGAGAUCUCUGCUCAGACUUUUACAUUCCCCUUCCCCAAAGCCAUCCAAACACUGAAAAUGUUAAGAGAAGCUGCCAAAUUCAAAGAGAAGCUAAGGAAGGGAAAUGUUGAGAGCUGUGCUUUGUCUCCCUAGAGGUAUAAAACCCCUAUUCAAAACAAAGAUAGUAUAGUGAGCUGGAUACAAAGAUUGCAGCCUCAGAUGCCCACCUGCUCAGCUUUCCCCCCCACUACGAACCAUAAGCAGAAGAGGGAAGGGAGAACAGCAUGGAAUAGCAUACACUGUUGUUGGAGCAGAGCAGGGAGGAGAACCAAAGCAGCGUUGUGGUUCAGAGCGGGCUCUGCAGUGCCCUGGCUCACCCUUUCUCCACUGCCUGUUGUCAGGCAUUGUGCCAGAGAUGCUGAGUACAUGAGUAACUCGUCUGCUGAAGGCCUGGGUUCAGCCUUGCUCUGGAGUGCUGUCUGAACACCAGCUGCUCCUCCCCAUCUCAGUUCUUGGAAUUUGCCUCCAUUCAUUCAUUCCAUCCUGCAGCUGCAGGAGCUGAAUGGGUAAAUGAGAGAGUAGUAAGAGGAAAAGCAUGAGUGCCAGGAGAGGAACGCGAGCAGUCAUUAAAAAACCCCAAACCACUAUUCCUGUCCUAAAAACAAAGCAAGUGCCCUGACAUGUGGCCAGUCUGAAAACAGCCAGAGUGAUGUGUGACAUAUUUAGGUAAGGCAGACUGAAAUACCCUGUUAGUUAAACACAGACAUUUCAAACGUGAUGAAAAACAGAUGGUUCUCUUAAUUAGAAGAUGAAAUUCACAGCCACAUCCAGCUGUUAAGCUCUAAUACAGAGCGUGAUGAAAACCAGCUCCUUCCCCAUUCAGGAGUGGCAGUACUCUGUGGGGCAUGAACUGAAAGCAGGGGAAAGACCAAGACUCACUGUGCUUCUCCUGGGAGAACCACUGGCCCCAGGCCACACUGGAUCCCCGUGGCUCCUCCUCCCCUACACAGUAAGGCAGGGCAGGGCUUUUUUAGUGUCCUUGCACACACAACUGCACUGUAUUCCCAAUAACAGUCUUUCUAGCAUACCCAGAAAUUGCAUGCAAGCACCUCUAGGGCAAAUACUUUCUGUGCUUGUACCAAAGCUGCAAAACUAACAAUGCUCUGAGCUGCAAGGGGGGCUAGAAGAGGCGGCACUGCAAACAGGAGGCAGGACAAAUAGCUUCAAUCUCUGCAACAGAAUUUAAUACUAUAAAAUUACACAGUCACCCACAGAGCUGCUUACAAGAACUACUGGGAAAAACAUCAAAGCAAAAGAGUUACUUUAGAAAGGUUUUGUCACAGUUGCUUAGCAUCAUCUCCCCCCCACCCAAAGAUUUUCUUUCCUCUUCAUUUCCUUAGAAAAGUGAUGUACACAUAACACAGGAAUUACUUGGGAGUCCAGAUGUGUGCUAGGAAAGAGGUCAUGCACCUGUGGCUAUUCUUCAGUGGGGUUUUCAGGGUGUCCUCCCAGAAAGAAAGCCAGCACCUCUGUGCUCUUUGCAGGACGUACACCAUGCCCUGCACCUCACAAGUUUCCAGCACCCAAAUCAAAAACCUGGAGAGCUGACAUUGUGGAAACAGGCAGCUGAACAAACAGGCUUCCAUACAAGAGCCAUGGAAAGGUCCAAAAAGAAUCUGGUAUUUGUGACUCACUUCCCAUUUUCCCCCAAAUCCCCUGCAGGCAGCCAGAGCCCUGCUUGUGCCCUGAGGCCAAAGGGGACAAAUGUCCCAAAUCACAGAGAAAUAGCGAAACCCACGAGAUGCUGCUGAACUCUUCAGAGUCUCACAGACACGGGGCAGAGCUGAGAGUCUGCUGGUACUGCACACUGUGCUCCUCAAAGGUCUGGAAAAGCAAACCAUCAGAAAGGAGCCCCAGUGUGCUGCCAGCACCUUUGCUGUGAUACUUACGGAGCUGGGGUCUAUAAGUUCAGCCAAGUGACAAUGAGGGGGAUGCUAAGAACUGACACAUGGGGAAUGCAGAUACAGGCAAAGCUUUGGGCUGUGCUGGGAUUGCAGAGGUCAAACAGGCUGCCUUGGAAUUUGAUCUUUCGGGACUCCUUCCUCAGCAUCUCCCAGAUGGCUGCUGCUUCCUUCUGGCACUCCCAGAGAGCAGUCAGGGCACAGACAUGAAACUCAUCCCAGUACCUGCAGCAGAGAACCACACCAUUAAUUCCCUUACUGUAUCACAGCAUGAAGGAGCAGGCAGAGCCCAGUCAACCCUGCAAACAUCUGCAGCCUCAAUAUUUUGAGCCCCAGGACCAGCACAGAGAGCAGCCCAACAGGAAACGUUCACUAUUAAGGCUUAAAAGUUCAGCAUCCCAACAGGACUUCAAUGUAGAGCAUGAUGGGUGCAGUCCUGCUGGCCUAGCACACUCCAGCACUAGCCCUGUACUGUGUCUGCCCCUCAGCUCCUGUUUACCUUUGCUGAAGAAGCCAGCUGGCUCUGGAGAAGCUGCUUUUGAGCUGUUCCCAAUAAGCUCUCUGCCCACAGCUGCAGAGCAAUGUGGAUGAGCUGCAGCUGCCCCCAGGU